AUUAAAAGGACAUCCAUGGACAUAAAGAACGGAAUCUAGAGUGACAGAGGGUAGGGGAUUCGAUUGUCCAACUCCUUUUGCUUUAGUUUGAGACCCAUUGGCUAAAGUAACGUUGGGAAAAAACUGUGAAUACGCAAUAUUUGACAAAAGAGAUUUAUUGCCAGAGAUAUGAUCAGAAGCAGCUGAGUCCACAACCCAUUGUUCAAGAGGACUA
Molecule: long non-coding RNA, 214 nt
Filed under: Nicotiana benthamiana
Lineage: Eukaryota; Viridiplantae; Streptophyta; Magnoliopsida; Solanales; Solanaceae
Description: long non-coding RNA (NBEN_LNC000461)
Source: RNAcentral